Molecule: ribosomal RNA, 334 nt
Filed under: uncultured bacterium
Lineage: Bacteria
Description: bacterial SSU rRNA
Rfam family: Bacterial small subunit ribosomal RNA
Source: RNAcentral
GAUGAACGCUAGCGGCAGGCCUAACACAUGCAAGUCGAGGGGCAGCACGUCUUCGGAUGGUGGCGACCGGCGCACGGGUGCGUAACGCGUAUGCAACCUACCUCUUACAGUGGGAUAGCCCAGAGAAAUUUGGAUUAAUACCGCAUAGUAUACAGAUUCAGCAUUGGGACUGUAUUAAACAUUUAGUGGGUAAGAGAUGGGCAUGCGUUCUAUUAGUUAGUUGGAGUGGUAACGGCACCCAAGACAGCGAUAGAUAGGGGCCCUGAGAGGGGGAUCCCCCACACUGGUACUGAGACACGGACCAGACUCCUACGGGAGGCAGCAGUGAGGAAUA